CCCGGAACAUACAUUCGAUCUUCCACCGACCCUCUGAAGUAGACAGAUAUCCAGAAAAUGAAGGCUGCUAUUGUUAUUCUGGCUGCCAUGCUGCUGUGUGGAGCUGCACGUGCACACGUGAUUCCCUUCUAUGGUGGGAGACGCCCCGCGGUGCCAGGCGGCUUCCUCGGCGGCUUCAGUGGCUUCCGCGGCGGCUUUAGCGGCUUCCGCGGCGGGUUCCCCGGAGGCGUCAACGUAGGGUACCCCAGUGGCCACUACGGCGACUUUGGCGGCUAUGGCGAUUAUCUCUACGACGUCUACGAUCAUCCCAGCACAACAGGAGUCAGAACCCUGUCCCGGCCUGCCGUGAAGGGAACCUACUAGAAGACAUAACUAGAGGUUUCAUGCAUACAACGACGUUUAUAAGAAUUUGACAUGGCUGAUUUUGUUUUGUAAACGUUUUGAGUAAUAAAUGUUUGUUGAA
Long non-coding RNA from Haliotis rufescens (red abalone), 463 nucleotides. RefSeq lists it as uncharacterized. The transcript has 3 exons. The record is from RefSeq and is a predicted model, not a curated record. NCBI's taxonomy places the organism in Eukaryota, Metazoa, Mollusca, Gastropoda, Lepetellida, Haliotidae.